RNAcentral lists this ribosomal RNA (468 nucleotides) under uncultured bacterium. Its description in RNAcentral is "partial 16S ribosomal RNA". It matches the Rfam family "Bacterial small subunit ribosomal RNA", at positions 28 to 507 of the family's 1533-position model. The record is from RNAcentral.
GACGAACGCUGGCGGCGUGCUUAACACAUGCAAGUCGAACGGAAAGGCCCUGCUUUUGUGGGGUGCUCGAGUGGCGAACGGGUGAGUAACACGUUAGUAACCUGCCCUUGACUUUGGGAUAACUUCAGGAAACUGGGGCUAAUACCGGAUAGGAGCUCCUGCUGCAUGGUUGGGGUUGGAAAGUUUCGGCGGUUGGGGAUGGACUCGCGGCUUAUCAGCUUGUUGGUGGGGUAGUGGCUUACCAAGGCUUUGACGGGUAGCCGGCCUGAGAGGGUGACCGGCCACAUUGGGACUGAGAUACGGCCCAGACUCCUACGGGAGGCAGCAGUGGGGAAUAUUGCACAAUGGGCGGAAGCCUGAUGCAGCAACGCCGCGUGCGGGAUGACGGCCUUCGGGUUGUAAACCGCUUUCGCCUGUGACGAAGCGUGAGUGACGGUAAUGGGUAAAGAAGCACCGGCUAACUACGUG